RNAcentral lists this unclassified non-coding RNA (184 nucleotides) under uncultured fungus. RNAcentral describes it as "partial contains 5.8S ribosomal RNA and internal transcribed spacer 2". The stretch from base 1 to 134 matches the Rfam family "5.8S ribosomal RNA", at positions 22 to 154 of the family's 154-position model. From Rfam's summary of the family: 5.8S ribosomal RNA (5.8S rRNA) is a component of the large subunit of the eukaryotic ribosome. It is transcribed by RNA polymerase I as part of the 45S precursor that also contains 18S and 28S rRNA. Lineage: Eukaryota; Fungi. The record is from RNAcentral.
UGGCUCUCGCAUCGAUGAAGAACGCAGCGAAAUGCGAUAAGUAAUGUGAAUUGCAGAAUUCAGCGAAUCAUCGAAUCUUUGAACGCACCUUGCGCCCUUUGGCUAUUCCGAAGGGCAUGCCUGUUUGAGUAUCAUGAACACCUCAUGAACGUUUGAUCUCAAAUCAGGUGGGACUACCCGCUGA